This 97-nucleotide ribosomal RNA is filed under the name Brochothrix thermosphacta. Lineage: Bacteria; Bacillati; Bacillota; Bacilli; Caryophanales; Listeriaceae. The record is from RNAcentral. RNAcentral also lists the same sequence under 1 other name.
AGGAUACACCUGUUCCCAUCCCGAACACAGUAGUUAAGCUCUUUAGCGCCGAUGGUAGUUGGGGGUUUCCCCCUGUGAGAGUAGGACGUUGCCAAGC